Molecule: ribosomal RNA, 1483 nt
Filed under: uncultured bacterium
Lineage: Bacteria
Description: 16S ribosomal RNA
Rfam family: Bacterial small subunit ribosomal RNA
Source: RNAcentral
UUAGAGUUUGAUCCUGGCUCAGGAUGAACGCUAGCGGCAGGCUUAACACAUGCAAGUCGAGGGGUAACGGGGAAGCUUGCUUCCGCCGACGACCGGCGCACGGGUGCGUAACGCGUAUACAAUCUACCUUGUACUGGGGUAUAGCCUUUAGAAAUGAAGAUUAACCCCCCAUAGUCUCUUAGAGUGGCAUCACUUCUAGAGUAAAGGUUACGGUAUAAGAUGAGUAUGCGUUCUAUUAGUUUGUUGGUGUGGUAACGGCACACCAAGACUACGAUAGAUAGGGGCCCUGAGAGGGGGAUCCCCCACACUGGUACUGAGACACGGACCAGACUCCUACGGGAGGCAGCAGUGAGGAAUAUUGGACAAUGGAGGCAACUCUGAUCCAGCCAUGCCGCGUGCAGGAAGACUGCCCUAUGGGUUGUAAACUGCUUUUAUACAGGAAGAAACACCUCUACGUGUAGAGGCUUGACGGUACUGUAAGAAUAAGGAUCGGCUAACUCCGUGCCAGCAGCCGCGGUAAUACGGAGGAUCCAAGCGUUAUCCGGAAUCAUUGGGUUUAAAGGGUCCGUAGGUGGAUAAUUAAGUCAGAGGUGAAAUCUUGCAGCUCAACUGUAAAAUUGCCUUUGAAACUGGUUAUCUUGAGUUAUUAUGAAGUAGUUAGAAUAUGUAGUGUAGCGGUGAAAUGCAUAGAUAUUACAUAGAAUACCAAUUGCGAAGGCAGAUUACUAAUAAUCAACUGACACUGAUGGACGAAAGCGUGGGUAGCGAACAGGAUUAGAUACCCUGGUAGUCCACGCCGUAAACGAUGGUUACUAGCUGUUUGGACUUCGGUCUGAGUGGCUAAGCGAAAGUGAUAAGUAACCCACCUGGGGAGUACGUUCGCAAGAAUGAAACUCAAAGGAAUUGACGGGGGCCCGCACAAGCGGUGGAGCAUGUGGUUUAAUUCGAUGAUACGCGAGGAACCUUACCAGGGCUUAAAUGUAAGUUGCAUUAGUUAGAGAUAGCUAUUUCUUCGGACCACUUACAAGGUGCUGCAUGGUUGUCGUCAGCUCGUGCCGUGAGGUGUCAGGUUAAGUCCUAUAACGAGCGCAACCCCUGUUGUUAGUUGCCAGCGAGUCAUGUCGGGAACUCUAGCAAGACUGCCAGUGCAAACUGUGAGGAAGGUGGGGAUGACGUCAAAUCAUCACGGCCCUUACGUCCUGGGCUACACACGUGCUACAAUGGUAGGUACAGAGAGCAGCCACUGCGCGAGCAGGAGCGAAUCUAUAAAACCUAUCACAGUUCGGAUCGGAGUCUGCAACUCGACUCCGUGAAGCUGGAAUCGCUAGUAAUCGGAUAUCAGCCAUGAUCCGGUGAAUACGUUCCCGGGCCUUGUACACACCGCCCGUCAAGCCAUGGAAGUUGGAAGUGCCUGAAGUCCGUCACCGUAAGGAGCGGCCUAGGGUAAAGUCGAUAACUAGGGCUAAGUCGUAACAAGGUAACC